This 105-nucleotide small nuclear RNA is filed under the name Dasypus novemcinctus (nine-banded armadillo). Lineage: Eukaryota; Metazoa; Chordata; Mammalia; Cingulata; Dasypodidae. The record is from RNAcentral.
GUGCUCGCUUCGGCAGCACAUAUUCUAAAAUUGGAAAGAUACAGAAUAUUAGCAUGACCCCUGUGCAAGGAUGACACUCAAAUUCAAGAAGAGUUCCAUAUUAAA